This 1859-nucleotide ribosomal RNA is filed under the name Thymallus thymallus (grayling). RNAcentral describes it as "bacterial LSU rRNA". It matches the Rfam family "Bacterial large subunit ribosomal RNA", at positions 840 to 2574 of the family's 2925-position model. The record is from RNAcentral. Lineage: Eukaryota; Metazoa; Chordata; Actinopteri; Salmoniformes; Salmonidae.
UGGAGAUAGCUGGUUCUCCUCGAAAUAGCUUUAGGGCUAGCCUCGGUGCAAUCUGCUGGAGGUAGGGCACUGAAUUCCCGCGGGGGCGUCAAAGCCUACCAAAGGAUAUCAAACUGCGAAUGCCAGACAGAUGAUCACCGGGAGUCAGACCACACGAGAUAAGUUGGGUGGUCAAAAGGGAAAGAGCCCAGACCUGCAGCUAAGGUCCCAAAGUGCGUGUUAAGUGGAAAAGGAUGUGGGAUCUCGAAGACAACUAGGAUGUUGGCUCAGAAGCAGCCAUCAUUUAAAGAGUGCGUAAUAGCUCACUAGUCGAGAGGUCCUGCGCCGAAAAUGAACCGGGGCUAAACACGACACCGAAGCUCAGGAAUCCGAAAGGAUUGGUAGAGGAGCAUUGCUGAAGCGACGAAGCAGUACCGAAAGGAGCUGUGGAGUUUCAGGAAGAGAGAAUGCCGGAAUGAGUAGCGAGAGAAAGGUGAGAAUCCUUUCGGCCGAAUAUCCAAGGUUUCCAGGGUAAAGCUGAUCUGCCCUGGGUAAGUCGGGGCCUAAGGCGAGGCAGAAAUGCGUAUGCGGGUGAAAAGCCCCACGCCGAAAGCCCAAGGUUUCCUGUUCAACGUUCAUCGGAGCAGGGUGAGUCGGCCCCUAAGGCGAGGCAGAAAUGCGUAGUUGAUGGGAAGCAGGUUAAUAUUCCUCACCGUCGUAUGAUGCGAUGGGGGGACGGAUCGCGGAAGGUUGUCCAGCUGUUGGAAUAGCUGGUUUCUGGUUCAUAGAAGGCGCUUAGGCAAAUCCGGGCACGUAAUUCAAGGGACUGGGACGAGGCACUUAGGUGCUGAAGCAAUCGGAAGUGGUUCCAAGAAAAGCCUCUAAGCUGCAGUCAUACGAGACCGUACCGCAAACCGACACUGGUGGGCGAGAUGAGUAUUCUAAGGCGCUUGAGAGAACUCGGGAGAAGGAACUCGGCAAAUUGGUACCGUAACUUCGGGAUAAGGUACGCCCUAGUAGUUUGACCACUUUACUGUUGAAGGAUGAACGGGUUGCAAUAAAAUGGUGGCUGCGACUGUUUAAUAAAAACACAGCACUCUGCAAACACGUAAGAUGACGUAUAAGGUGUGACGCCUGCCCGGUGCUGGAAGAUUAAAUGAUGGGGUGCAAGCUCUUGAUUGAAGUCCCGGUAAACGGCCGGCCGUAACAAUAACGGUCCUAAGGUAGCGAAAUUCCUUGUCGGGUAAGUUCCGACCUGCACGAAUGGCGUAACGAUGGCCACACUGUCUCCUCCCGAGACUCAGCGAAGUUGAAAUGGUUUGUGAUGAUGCAAUCUACCCGCGGCUAGACGGAAAGACCCCGUGAACCUUUACUGUAGCUUUGCAUUGGACUUUGAAUCAAUCUGUGUAGGAUAGGUGGGAGGCUUUGAAGCGGGGACGCCAGUUCUCGUGGAGCCAACCUUGAAAUACCACCCUGGUUCAUUUGAGGUUCUAACCUUGGGUCCGUUAUCCGGGUCGGGGACAGUGCAUGGUAGGCAGUUUGACUGGGGCGGUCUCCUCCUAAAGUGUAACGGAGGAGUUCGAAGGUACGCUAGGUACGGUCGGACAUCGUGCUAAUAGUGCAAUGGCAUAAGCGUGCUUAACUGCGAGACCGACAAGUCGAGCAGGUACGAAAGUAGGACUUAGUGAUCCGGUGGUUCUGUAUGGAAGGGCCAUCGCUCAACGGAUAAAAGGUACUCCGGGGAUAACAGGCUGAUUCCUCCCAAGAGUUCAUAUCGACGGGGGUGUUUGGCACCUCGAUGUCGGCUCAUCACAUCCUGGGGCUGNNNNNNNNCCGGAGUGGACGAACCUCUGGUGUACCGGUUGUCACGCCAGUGGCAU